This 2992-nucleotide ribosomal RNA is filed under the name Salmonella enterica subsp. enterica serovar 4,[5],12:i:-. Its description in RNAcentral is "23S ribosomal RNA". It matches the Rfam family "Bacterial large subunit ribosomal RNA". The record is from RNAcentral. Lineage: Bacteria; Pseudomonadati; Pseudomonadota; Gammaproteobacteria; Enterobacterales; Enterobacteriaceae.
GGUUAAGCGACUAAGCGUACACGGUGGAUGCCCUGGCAGUCAGAGGCGAUGAAGGACGUGCUAAUCUGCGAUAAGCGCCGGUAAGGUGAUAUGAACCGUUAUAACCGGCGAUUUCCGAAUGGGGAAACCCAGUGUGAUUCGUCACACUAUCAUUAACUGAAUCCAUAGGUUAAUGAGGCGAACCGGGGGAACUGAAACAUCUAAGUACCCCGAGGAAAAGAAAUCAACCGAGAUUCCCCCAGUAGCGGCGAGCGAACGGGGAGGAGCCCAGAGCCUGAAUCAGCAUGUGUGUUAGUGGAAGCGUCUGGAAAGGCGCGCGAUACAGGGUGACAGCCCCGUACACAAAAGCGCAUGUGCUGUGAGCUCGAUGAGUAGGGCGGGACACGUGGUAUCCUGUCUGAAUAUGGGGGGACCAUCCUCCAAGGCUAAAUACUCCUGACUGACCGAUAGUGAACCAGUACCGUGAGGGAAAGGCGAAAAGAACCCCGGCGAGGGGAGUGAAAAAGAACCUGAAACCGUGUACGUACAAGCAGUGGGAGCACAGGUUUACCUGUGUGACUGCGUACCUUUUGUAUAAUGGGUCAGCGACUUAUAUUCUGUAGCAAGGUUAACCGAAUAGGGGAGCCGGAGGGAAACCGAGUCUUAAUUGGGCGUUAAGUUGCAGGGUAUAGACCCGAAACCCGGUGAUCUAGCCAUGGGCAGGUUGAAGGUUGGGUAACACUAACUGGAGGACCGAACCGACUAAUGUUGAAAAAUUAGCGGAUGACCUGUGGCUGGGGGUGAAAGGCCAAUCAAACCGGGAGAUAGCUGGUUCUCCCCGAAAGCUAUUUAGGUAGCGCCUCGUGAAUUCAUCUCCGGGGGUAGAGCACUGUUUCGGCUAGGGGGCCAUCCCGGCUUACCAACCCGAUGCAAACUGCGAAUACCGGAGAAUGUUAUCACGGGAGACACACGGCGGGUGCUAACGUCCGUCGUGAAGAGGGAAACAACCCAGACCGCCAGCUAAGGUCCCAAAGUCAUGGUUAAGUGGGAAACGAUGUGGGAAGGCCCAGACAGCCAGGAUGUUGGCUUAGAAGCAGCCAUCAUUUAAAGAAAGCGUAAUAGCUCACUGGUCGAGUCGGCCUGCGCGGAAGAUGUAACGGGGCUAAACCAUGCACCGAAGCUGCGGCAGCGAACGUAUCACCCAAGACAACUUUACGGAGUUGACGAUUGACGGAGCGAAGCGACGUCAAAGCGUUCAUUAAAGUCGAGUUGGCUUAGGGAUACGUUCGUUGGGUAGGGGAGCGUUCUGUAAGCCUGUGAAGGUGUGUCGUGAGGCAUGCUGGAGGUAUCAGAAGUGCGAAUGCUGACAUAAGUAACGAUAAAGCGGGUGAAAAGCCCGCUCGCCGGAAGACCAAGGGUUCCUGUCCAACGUUAAUCGGGGCAGGGUGAGUCGACCCCUAAGGCGAGGCCGAAAGGCGUAGUCGAUGGGAAACGGGUUAAUAUUCCCGUACUUGGUGUUACUGCGAAGGGGGGACGGAGAAGGCUAUGUUGGCCGGGCGACGGUUGUCCCGGUUUAAGCGUGUAGGUGUGUGUUCCAGGUAAAUCCGGUUCACUUUAACACUGAGGCGUGAUGACGAGGCACUACGGUGCUGAAGCAACAAAUGCCCUGCUUCCAGGAAAAGCCUCUAAGCAUCAGGUAACAUCAAAUCGUACCCCAAACCGACACAGGUGGUCAGGUAGAGAAUACCAAGGCGCUUGAGAGAACUCGGGUGAAGGAACUAGGCAAAAUGGUGCCGUAACUUCGGGAGAAGGCACGCUGACACGUAGGUGAAGUGAUUUACUCACGGAGCUGAAGUCAGUCGAAGAUACCAGCUGGCUGCAACUGUUUAUUAAAAACACAGCACUGUGCAAACACGAAAGUGGACGUAUACGGUGUGACGCCUGCCCGGUGCCGGAAGGUUAAUUGAUGGGGUCAGCGCAAGCGAAGCUCCUGAUCGAAGCCCCGGUAAACGGCGGCCGUAACUAUAACGGUCCUAAGGUAGCGAAAUUCCUUGUCGGGUAAGUUCCGACCUGCACGAAUGGCGUAAUGAUGGCCAGGCUGUCUCCACCCGAGACUCAGUGAAAUUGAACUCGCUGUGAAGAUGCAGUGUACCCGCGGCAAGACGGAAAGACCCCGUGAACCUUUACUAUAGCUUGACACUGAACAUUGAGCCUUGAUGUGUAGGAUAGGUGGGAGGCUUUGAAGUGUGGACGCCAGUCUGCAUGGAGCCGACCUUGAAAUACCACCCUUUAAUGUUUGAUGUUCUAACGUGGACCCGUAAUCCGGGUUGCGGACAGUGUCUGGUGGGUAGUUUGACUGGGGCGGUCUCCUCCUAAAGAGUAACGGAGGAGCACGAAGGUUGGCUAAUCCUGGUCGGACAUCAGGAGGUUAGUGCAAUGGCAUAAGCCAGCUUGACUGCGAGCGUGACGGCGCGAGCAGGUGCGAAAGCAGGUCAUAGUGAUCCGGUGGUUCUGAAUGGAAGGGCCAUCGCUCAACGGAUAAAAGGUACUCCGGGGAUAACAGGCUGAUACCGCCCAAGAGUUCAUAUCGACGGCGGUGUUUGGCACCUCGAUGUCGGCUCAUCACAUCCUGGGGCUGAAGUAGGUCCCAAGGGUAUGGCUGUUCGCCAUUUAAAGUGGUACGCGAGCUGGGUUUAGAACGUCGUGAGACAGUUCGGUCCCUAUCUGCCGUGGGCGCUGGAGAACUGAGGGGGGCUGCUCCUAGUACGAGAGGACCGGAGUGGACGCAUCACUGGUGUUCGGGUUGUCAUGCCAAUGGCACUGCCCGGUAGCUAAAUGCGGAAGAGAUAAGUGCUGAAAGCAUCUAAGCACGAAACUUGCCCCGAGAUGAGUUCUCCCUGAGACUUAGAGUCUCCUGAAGGAACGUUGAAGACGACGACGUUGAUAGGCCGGGUGUGUAAGCGCAGCGAUGCGUUGAGCUAACCGGUACUAAUGAACCGUGAGGCUUAACCUU